This 497-nucleotide ribosomal RNA is filed under the name uncultured bacterium. RNAcentral describes it as "partial 16S ribosomal RNA". It matches the Rfam family "Bacterial small subunit ribosomal RNA", at positions 28 to 507 of the family's 1533-position model. The record is from RNAcentral.
GAUGAACGCUGGCGGCGUGCCUAAUACAUGCAAGUCGAGCGAACGGACGCUACGCUUGCUUCUCUGAUGUUAGCGGCGGACGGGUGAGUCACACGUGUAUAACCUCCCUAUCAGACUGGGAUCACUUCGGGAAACCGUAGCUAAUACCGUAUAAUCUUUUGAACCGCAUGGUUCAAAAGUGAAAGACGGUCUUGCUGUCACUUAUAGCUGGAUCCGCGCUGCAUUAGCUAGUUGGUAAGGUAACAGCUUACCAAGGCGACGAUGCAUAGCCGACCUGAGAGGGUGAUCGGCCACACGGGAACUGAGACACGGACCAGACGCCUACGGGAGGCAGCAGUAGGGAAUCUUCGGCAAUGGGCGGGAGCCUGACAGAGCAACGCGGCGUGAGUGAUGAAGGUCUUCGGAUCGUAAAACUCUGUUAUUAGGGAAGAACAGAUGUGUAAGUAAAUGUGCACAUCUUGACGGUACCGAAUCAGAAAGCCCCGGCUAACUACGUG